Peromyscus maniculatus bairdii (prairie deer mouse) is the source of this 3261-nucleotide RNA transcript. RefSeq lists it as uncharacterized. The record is from RefSeq and is a predicted model, not a curated record. Lineage: Eukaryota; Metazoa; Chordata; Mammalia; Rodentia; Cricetidae.
GUGGUAGCUGCGGGGGGACUGCACCUUGGCUGCAGGGGAGGGAGGCGUGCAGCGCACUGGCGGAGUAGCCUGCCUCCCAGACCUUCCCUUUUUAAGCUUCGAGCUAGUUCGUUUCUUCAGACAUCAGCGGACCAUGCCUACCAGAGUACACUCCUUAGGGAUAAUUCACUUUCCUCAUUUUGCCCGCGUUAUAAACUCCUGGCCACCACCUACGGGGGCGGGGGCGGAUCUGCCUAGGCGUGGAAGUCGGAUGCUUGGUCCUGAGGGCUUGAACUUUUAAGAGUCAUUCUCGUACCCAGGAGCACUCAAGUUAACUGUGGCGACUGGUUUUGUUUUUUUCUAAGCUUAACCCAAACUUAAUCUCAAAGCGAUGCUACUUUUGCUCCCUAUUUGGGGGAGAUGCUAGGAAGGCGCAUUGGAUCAAAUUUGGAAGGAAAUAAGGGUGUUACCGAAGCAGCCAUAUCUAGAUGGUAUUUCAGAAUCUGCCUUUUGAGUUACUUCAUCUGUGCACCUGGCAGACCUUCCACAGGGCUAAAUUAGGAGAAAAGCGCGCGGAAACGCGGUUGGACUGGCAGUGAGUGAAUCCGGGUCCACAAACAGAAUACCCUCUUCCAGCGAAGAGAGAAGAAGCUGCCACGAAUUUGGCUUGUGCUGGAUGGCACUGUUCGUUUUUAGGGCUGUGCCAAGGCCCCCCCUUUCUCCUCUCUUCCACCUCCCGGCAACACCUAAGCUCUCCAGCAGCCCUGCCUUCCUACCGGUAUGAUCGCAAACCCAACGGGUCAAGGCCUGCCUCACACGCCUCCUCGGCGAUCUGCUCCCACCCCCACCUCUGAACGUCAGACCUCCCAAUGCAUUCUUGGGACCCCUGUCCACAUACGCACUCUCCUGGAGCUGCUGUGGACCAAAGUAAGGCAGCUAAACUGGUUAGCUCUCACACAGCAACCCCUGUCCUGGUCUUUUCGAGGCUUAGAUAGACUCUAGGCUGAGCCGGGGUUAGAAAGGGGCCCUCCCACCUCUGGGGCGGACUCUGGACUCGGCAUCCCGAUCUUCCUCCGGACCCGACACUUCCUAGAACAAGUCGACUAGUAUCAAGAAUUCUGGCACUCCUGGGCGUGCCAAGUGCGGCGGAGCGCCGGAUCCUCUAUUGCCCCGACUCAAAGCGGGUGCCCAAAAGAAGGGACCAUCGGUCCCCACGCUCUUCACCCCCAACUGUUCCAGAACUAGCUGCUACCGCCCUGGACUCAAGCGCUCCUCUCAGGAGCCUAUAGUCGCCCAGGUCCGCGGGAGGCUCACACUUGGCUCAGCUGGGCUACUUUACAUGCAAAGCAGAGGGGCCCGGGAGGGGGCAACUAAGAAAUUGCUGUCGCGGGGACCUGUAGGGUGCCACUGGACUUGGCUGCCUUCCCUUUCCGACUUUCACCUUCCUUCGGUAGGUCGGGGAGAGGUUGUUUUACUGAUUUGGGGGUGUAACGACUUUGAGACCUAGGUAUGGGAGAAGGGACCUCUUUUAGAGGACGGGGUUGGGCGAAGACAGGACGCUGGUUCUAGGGCAUCGUGUCCUGCAUGUCUCGGUGUCCAAAUGGUGAAGAAAACCGGUCGCCGAGCCAAUCCCAGCUUCUGGGGUGUGUGUAUGUCAACGAGCGAGGGCAAUGCCAGGCAUGUCUCUUGGCUCCUUGAUUCUCUGUCUAAAAUCCAUAUUUAACACUUCCGCGGUGACAGCACACAGGACUAACGUUUCUCUCCCCCACCCCAUUUCCAUUGAGCUCUUAUUUUGAAAUGGAAUCAGUAGUGGAGACAAGGAGAGAAAACUGACCCAGCAUUCUAAAUGCGCCAUCUCUGGAUCCACAGAGCUCAGCUCUACGUGUGUAUCUAUGACCUCUGAAGAAGAUUCCCAACCGUCCUUCCUCACCUACACCACCACGCAGUCCACGAUCUCAAGUACACCCAUUUUACUACCCUCCAUUCUUCAAAGUCACAUAGACCCUCAGCCACUUAUACCCCGGCGGGUGUCCUGAGAUGCAAUUUGGACGCCUGGCCAUCAUUCAGCGAUCACAAAAUCCCCAUAGGGAAAGGCCCUAGAGGACCCAGAUAGGGGCUUCCACAGUCCAGUUUUGUCUUCCCAGAGGAUUCUCAAAAAUCAGCUCAAAAUAUGGGAGAGAUCCUGUCUCGGAACUGGGGCUGGCCAGCCUUUCCCCGCUCACACACCACUAAUCUCCCUUGCCUCCUGGGUCCAGAGCCCUUGAACCCAUGUUCUCCACACCCCCUACGCAGUCGGGAGUGUUUCCCACCAACCAGGGACCGUGCUUUCUUAGUCACUGUGGGUCGCUACUUAAUUGCCAGAGCAGCCGCUUCCAUCCUCCAGUUCAGACCACGGUCCGCAUUAAAAGGGGAGAGAGGGCCCGCCCCAGUAGGCUCCUAGGACUGCCAACCACAAAACCCCGUAUAUCCAGUAGCAUAGGUACAGGGAGGCAGGAAGGGGUCAGCUAGAUGCACCCUGGAUCCCUGCCAUCUGGAAGACACACAGACUCGGCACAGACCUGUGAAGAUCCGGCUUAUGCAACCAAGGAACUGCUCAGCUGGAGUCUCUCUGAUCCAGUCCCCCGCCUCUUUCCCUUCCCCUCUCUCGAGGUUCACGCUCUUAAUAGGCGGUACUUUCUAGUUUAUAUCGUUGUCUCUCCUGAACAACGUAAAGGAGGUGCAGGAGAGGGAGACAGAUCGUUCUUCUCUACACUUCCCCAGACAGGAACCCCAAUCCAAGCAAGGGCGCCUGUUCCUAUCCCUGCAUACUGAAGGGAGAAAGGAAAGAACAAGGUGUAGCUGAUUAGCAAGUUAAUUAUUUCAGUACCCCAAGGGUUCAUGCGUGGUGGAGACGGCCAUGGAGGGCCGACUUCUCGACUUCAGCAGCGUGAGGAUGACACAGUACUCACUGGUGCUGCCAUUCUGCUGUCCCCGCUCAGGUUGGCUGCCACCCUUGCUGAUGGAGAGAGGCUGGAGGCUGUCUGAGAAGACAGUGCUGAUGCAGAGGCCUCCUAGCGAAGUGUGAAGGGAUGCCCUCAACCAGGGUUGAAGAAAGGAAGCAAAGAAGGGGAGCCCAAGGAAAGGUGGGGCCAGUUGGGAUUUUUAGGUAACACUCUUCUGGCAUACUUCUCAUGUGUUGUAUGUUAUGAUCGCCGAAUUUCACGUUUAUUGUAGUAGCCUGCCGUGUGUAGGCCAAAUGCUGCUUGGCCAAAACAGUGUUAAAUAAAACUGUAAGAAAUGCUA